AUGAUUCAAGAUUAGCCAUGCAUGUCUAAGAAUAAACUCUUGAAUGGUGAAUCUGCGAAUGGCUCAUUAAAUCAGUUAUUGUUUAUUUGAUGGUACCUUACUACAUGGAUAACCGUAGUAAUUCUAGAGCUAAUACAUGCGUAAAGCCCCAUCUCGGGGUGCAUUUAUUAGAUUCAAACCAUCUGGGCACCUUCACGGGUGUCCUUUUGAUGGUGAGUCAUAAUAACUGAGCGAAUCGAAUUGGCCUUGUGCCGUCGAUGCUUCAUUCAAAUUUCUGCCCUAUCAGCUUUCGAUGGUAGGAUCUUGGCCUACCAUGGCUAUAACGGGUAACGGGGAAUUAGGGCUCGAUUCCGGAGAGGGAGCUUGAGAAACGGCUACCACAUCCAAGGAUGGCAGCAGGCGCGCAAAUUACCCAAUCCCGACACGGGGAGGUAGUGACAAAAAUAAUGAUGCUGGAUUAUCAUAAUCCGGCAAUUGGAAUGAGAGUAAUUUAAAUCAAU
RNAcentral lists this ribosomal RNA (500 nucleotides) under uncultured eukaryote. Its description in RNAcentral is "SSU rRNA". It matches the Rfam family "Eukaryotic small subunit ribosomal RNA", at positions 34 to 534 of the family's 1831-position model. The record is from RNAcentral.